AAGGCCUGAUGUGUGUGAGAUUACCCGCUGAAUUUAAGCAUAUAAGUAAGCGGAGGAAAAGAAACUAACUAGGAUUCCCUUAGUAAUGGCGAAUGAACAGGGAUCAGCUCAGUGCCAAAUCGGAAUCACUUGUGGUUCUGAAAUGUGGCUUGAAGGCAGUACCAGUGGCAUCGCGGACGAAAGUCUCUUGGAAAAGAGCGUCAUAGAGGGUGAGAAUCCCGUGAGUCGUUCGCCGUUUGUCACGUACGGUCUGCGUUCUAACGAGUCGCGUUCCUUGGGAUUGGAGCGUAAACGGGUGGUAAAUUUCAUCCAAAGCAAAAUAUAUACUCGAGACCGAUAGCACAAAAGUACCGUGAGGGAAAGGUGAAAAGAACUUUGAGAAGAGGGUUAAAUAGUGCCUGAAAUCGUUGAGAAGGAAGCGGAUGCCGCCGUUGCAUAUGCUGAUUGUAGGAUUGCUGCUCGCUCCUGUCUUCUGCUACUCAUUCACAGACCUGGUCGUGUUGAGCAGUUGUUUGGCAGAUGUUAGUGGUGUUUCCUACUUUCAGUCGUCAGCAUCACUGGCUGAGUGGAAAUAAUCCUUGGAUGCUAAUUGGUUCGCUAUCUGUGAAUUGGUUGCUUCCUUGCGAUACUCACUACUCGGUCAGUGAGGAAGUGCGUUUGCUGGUCAACGAGCUUUCUAACUGUCAUACCCUGCGCUUUCGAUCGUCGAGGGCCAGGAUGUGGCUUUGAGAUUGUCGCACUUAGUAUCGCGAUGCUGG
Molecule: non-coding RNA, 758 nt
Filed under: Perkinsus marinus ATCC 50983
Lineage: Eukaryota; Perkinsozoa; Perkinsida; Perkinsidae
Description: Eukaryotic large subunit ribosomal RNA
Rfam family: Eukaryotic large subunit ribosomal RNA
Source: Rfam by way of RNAcentral